RNAcentral lists this ribosomal RNA (253 nucleotides) under uncultured bacterium. Its description in RNAcentral is "partial 16S ribosomal RNA". It matches the Rfam family "Bacterial small subunit ribosomal RNA", at positions 524 to 776 of the family's 1533-position model. The record is from RNAcentral.
UACAGAGGGGGCAAGCGUUGUUCGGAAUUACUGGGCGUAAAGGGCGCGUAGGCGGCCUGCUAAGUCGAACGUGAAAUCCCCGGGCUCAACCCGGGAACUGCGUCCGAUACUGGUUGGCUUGAAUCCGGGAGAGGGAUGCGGAAUUCCAGGUGUAGCGGUGAAAUGCGUAGAUAUCUGGAGGAACACCGGUGGCGAAGGCGGCAUCCUGGACCAACACUGACACUGAGGAGCGAAAGCCAGGGGAGCAAACGGG